This 474-nucleotide ribosomal RNA is filed under the name uncultured bacterium. RNAcentral describes it as "bacterial SSU rRNA". It matches the Rfam family "Bacterial small subunit ribosomal RNA", at positions 335 to 799 of the family's 1533-position model. The record is from RNAcentral.
ACUCCUACGGGAGGCAGCAGUGGGGAAUAUUGCACAAUGGGCGAAAGCCUGAUGCAGCGACGCCGCGUGAGGGACGACGGCCUUCGGGUUGUAAACCUCUUUCAGUAGGGAACAAGGCAUCAUUUUUGUGGUGUUGAGGGUACUUGCAGAAGAAGCACCGGCUAACUACGUGCCAGCAGCCGCGGUAAUACGUAGGGUGCAAGCGUUAUCCGGAAUUACUGGGCGUAAAGCGCAUGCAGGUGGUUUGUUAAGUCAGAUGUGAAAGCCCGGGGCUCAACCUCGGAAUUGCAUUUGAAACUGGCAAACUAGAGUACUGUAGAGGGGGGUAGAAUUUCAGGUGUAGCGGUGAAAUGCGUAGGAGACUACGUAGCAGGGAAUGACCGGAUGGCGCCAGGCGGCCCCUGGACAGAUACUGACACUNAGAUGCGAAAGCGUGGGGAGGCAAACAGGAUUAGAUACCCUGGUAGGAUAGCG